ACCUGGGUGGCUCAGUCGGUUGAGUGUCUGACUUUGGCUCAGGUCAUGAUCUCAUGGUUUGUGGGUUCAAGUCCCGCACUGGGCU
Molecule: transfer RNA, 85 nt
Filed under: Felis catus (domestic cat)
Lineage: Eukaryota; Metazoa; Chordata; Mammalia; Carnivora; Felidae
Also listed under: 4 other names
Rfam family: tRNA
About the family: Transfer RNA (tRNA) molecules are approximately 80 nucleotides in length. Their secondary structure includes four short double-helical elements and three loops (D, anti-codon, and T loops). Further hydrogen bonds mediate the characteristic L-shaped molecular structure. tRNAs have two regions of fundamental functional importance: the anti-codon, which is responsible for specific mRNA codon recognition, and the 3' end, to which the tRNAs corresponding amino acid is attached (by aminoacyl-tRNA synthetases). tRNAs cope with the degeneracy of the genetic code in two manners: having more than one tRNA (with a specific anti-codon) for a particular amino acid; and 'wobble' base-pairing, i.e. permitting non-standard base-pairing at the 3rd anti-codon position.
Source: Rfam by way of RNAcentral